Molecule: ribosomal RNA, 467 nt
Filed under: uncultured bacterium
Lineage: Bacteria
Description: partial 16S ribosomal RNA
Rfam family: Bacterial small subunit ribosomal RNA
Source: RNAcentral
GACGAACGCUGGCGGCGUGCUUAACACAUGCAAGUCGAACGGAAAGGCCCUGCUUUUGUGGGGUGCUCGAGUGGCGAACGGGUGAGUAACACGUGAGUAACCUGCCCUUGACUUUGGGAUAACUUCAGGAAACUGGGGCUAAUACCGGAUAGGAGCUCCUGCUGCAUGGUGGGGGCUGGAAAGUUUCGGCGGUUGGGGAUGGACUCGCGGCUUAUCAGCUUGUUGGUGGGGUAGUGGCUUACCAAGGCUUUGACGGGUAGCCGGCCUGAGAGGGUGACCGGCCAAAUGGGGACUGAGAUACGGCCCAGACUCCUAGGGGAGGAAGAAGGGGGGAAUAUUGAAAAAGGGGCGGAAGCCGGAGGCAGAAACGCCGGGGGGGGGAUGACGGCCUUGGGGUUGUAAACCGCUUUCGCCUGGGACGAAGGGGGGGUGACGGUAAUGGGUAAAGAAGCACCGGAUAACUACGU